Molecule: ribosomal RNA, 400 nt
Filed under: uncultured bacterium
Lineage: Bacteria
Description: bacterial SSU rRNA
Rfam family: Bacterial small subunit ribosomal RNA
Source: RNAcentral
CUACCCUUGACACGGAGUCGUCGCGUGCAGAGAUGCCCGUUCUCGCAAGGGCGGCUCGCACAGGUGUUGCAUGGCUGUGGUCACCUCGUGUCGUGAGAUGUUGGGUUAAGUCUCGCACCGAGCGCACCCCUCUCCUCUAGUGUCCAUCAGGUUUGGCUGGGCACUCUAAAGGAACUGCCGGUGACAAGCCGGAGGAAGGUGGGGAUGACGUCAAGUCCUCAUGGCCCUUAUGUCGUGGGCUACACACGUGCUACAAUGGCGGUGACAGUGGGAAGCUAGGUCGCGAGGCCAUGCUGAUCUCUAAAAGCCGUCUCAGUUCGGAUUGCACUCUGCAACUCGAGUGCAUGAAGUUGGAAUCGCUAGUAAUCGCGGAUCAGCAUGCCGCGGUGAAUACGUUCCC